AACAACUGGGGACUGCCAAGAAGGGGUUCUGUUUAUAAAAGAGCAUCAACUCGCUUAGGCCAUGACGUUCACCCAGCCCUUCCUCUGGAGCAACCGCUGCCCUGUGAAUAAGAGCCGAUGGAGGAGAUCGCAGCUUCGGUGGUGAUGACAGAAAAUGAUUUCGGUUCUGCUCCUAAACCAGGUGCACUGGAUGCUGCUGCUGUACACAUACAGCAAUUGGAAGAAACAGUCAAGGAGCUGAUGAGAGCAGUCACAGCUGAAAGUGGUUCAAGUGCCUUUUCACAGAUUUUGUGUCUCAGACGAGGACAUCCUUUUUUACACCAGAUUCACGUCAAGAGAUGUUUUUUGUGACUUCUGGGAGGUUAUUCAACCAUCUACCUCCAUGUUGGUUUAUUGGUCGAAAGCUCAGAAAAAGAAACAAACAUUUGAACCCAUUUCUCCCAGUCCAACGUGUAGACUGCAACUGGUUGAGUUUUUUCUCUUCUGCUGCCGGGUUGCUGCAGGCAUGCAAGAGAAGGUGCUGGCUGACAUGUUUCAGGUCAGUGUGUCCACUGUCUCCCAUGUUGUUAUACCGUGGGCCAACUACCGUUACCUGCUCCUUGGCUCCCUCCCCUACUCCUUGGCUCCCUCCCCAUCUGGAUGAGUAAACAGCAAGUCAAGAACACCAUGCCAAGCAAAUUGGUGCAGUACAGUCCAGAUGUUCGGGUAAUCAUCGACUGCACCAAGUGCAGUCGAUGAUUACCCGAACAUCAUCUUACAAGAACACGACAACCUUUAAGGCCUUGAUUGGGAUUGCCCCUUGUAGUGCUGUGACUUUUGUGUCAAGGCUCCAUCUCCGACCCAGAGCUGACUGAAUGAAGUGGACUGCUGGAUUUACUGGAGCCAGGAGAUGGCUGCAUGGCAGACAAGGGUUUCACCAUCGAGAAGCCACUAGCUGAUCGUGGGGCAACGCUGAUUAUACCACCCUUCAAGAUGACAGUUCACUGAAGAGGAUGCUCUGAAAACACCAGCAAUCGCUCAACUUCGAAUCCUCGUAGAAAGAGCAAUAGGCAGAGUCAAGGAAUAACGCAUCUGGGAACGCACUGUCCUCUCACCUUGUCUGCGACAGUCAAUCAGCUGUGGACCGUCUGCUGUGUGAUGACCAACUUCCAGGGACCACUUGAUUUAAAAGGCUACAUCCCUGUUGAAUGGUGUUUCUACUCAAACAUGUACCUAUAAAUAUUAAAUAUAAUAUGUAAAUAUUAAAACGAGAGGCACUGAA
Long non-coding RNA from Gadus morhua (Atlantic cod), 1261 nucleotides. RefSeq lists it as uncharacterized. The transcript has 3 exons. Lineage: Eukaryota; Metazoa; Chordata; Actinopteri; Gadiformes; Gadidae. The record is from RefSeq and is a predicted model, not a curated record.